AUUGAACGCUGGCGGCAUGCUUUACACAUGCAAGUCGAACGCGAAAGGGGGCAACCCUGAGUAGAGUGGCGCACGGGUGAGUAAUGCAUCGGAACGUGUCCUGUAGCGGGGGAUAACCUAGCGAAAGCUAGGCUAAUACCGCAUACGCCCUGAGGGGGAAAGUGGGGGAUCGCAAGACCUCACACUAUAGGAGCGGCCGAUGCCGGAUUAGCUAGUUGGUGGGGUAAAAGCUCACCAAGGCGACGAUCCGUCGCUGGUCCGAGAGGAUGAUCAGCCACACUGGGACUGAGACACGGCCCAGACUCCUACGGGAGGCAGCAGUGGGGAAUUUUGGACAAUGGGGGCAACCCUGAUCCAGCCAUGCCGCGUGAGUGAAGAAGGCCUUCGGGUUGUAAAGCUCUUUCGGCCGGGACGAAAUCGCAUGGGUGAAUAUCCUGUGUGGAUGACGGUACCGGAAUAAGAAGCACCGGCUAACUACGUGCCAGCAGCCGCAGUAA
This 497-nucleotide ribosomal RNA is filed under the name uncultured bacterium. Its description in RNAcentral is "partial 16S ribosomal RNA". It matches the Rfam family "Bacterial small subunit ribosomal RNA", at positions 29 to 523 of the family's 1533-position model. The record is from RNAcentral.